GAAGCUCUCUGCAAUAAAAACCUUCUCCCUCAAUGUUAGAACCAAAAUAAAGAGCUGCUUCCACACACACACACACACACACACACACACACACACACACACACACACACACACACACACACACACACACACACACACACAAAUACACAUACAGGCUCACAUACACCCUUCAAAGAAUUCAAUCAGCCGUUAACAUACCAGCCUAGUCAUUUCAGCAACUUUCAAUUCCUAUUAAGUUGUUGCAGUUGCACGGCCUGCCAUUCAAAAAAUUCAGGGAGAUGUUCACAUAUGCAGUGACAGACUGUCCAGUAAGGACUACAGUACCCAUGAUGCUACACCCACUAGUGACCUCUAACCUCUGACUCCUAGUUCAGGUAUCCAUGGCCAGCCAGCCUCUGUCAUACCCUCUCUAGAACCUCAGCAACCAGUUAGUUAGUUUACCCUCAGCAACCGCUAGCUACCUUCUAUCAAUGGCCUGGCCUUACAUGUGCAACUGCCUUUUUCUUCCCCCUAGCACAGUUUCCUUCUGAACUCUGGUUCCCACACACACACACUCACUUUUUAUUUUCUGUUAGAGACAUAUUAAGUAACAGUGUUCAUGCUCCAGUGGGGAUGCUUGCGUGUUGAGAUGAGUGUUAAGUGAACCCAGAGAUUCACCACAGUUUGUUUUUCUUGUUUUAGGAGUAAACAAAAUAAUCACACACACACACACAUACAGGAAGCCACAUUCACCCGAUCUGCAAUGUCUGCUUAGGUCAGCUUUACAAUCAGAGCAGUGUGUCAGGUUAGUUGGAGAGGUGAGAGGCGCAGUGGGCAGGACAGGUAGGUGGUAGAGGACAGGACUCAAAGUAAGGGGAAUGCAGUCAGGAGAUUCAGCCUAAUGUAUAAUACAAUAUAGUGGCUUGUUAUAAGGUUGUAUUCAAGUUGUACUAAAGUGUGUGAGGUUAAAAUAAAGUAGUAUUUAGAUGGAGGGGACAGCAGAGAUUGUGGCAAUUCCACAUUGUUGUUUAAAUUGGAUUGAGUGUUUUUUAUUUCUAGUUCAGGUAGUCCCAGUUCUUAUCUACCAGGAUAGUGAUUCCUGUUGCCCUUGGAAUCGUACUGUAUGUGCAGUAGUUGUCUUUGUUUAUACGUUUUCUCUCCCAUUGUUGUGCCAAGUGAAUGUAGCAUUGUCCCUGUCUGAUGUUUGUUAGCCAUGUACUGUAUGUGUUUUUGUCCGUACUCCUUUACUGUGACCCGAAAAUGUCUUCAAUUUCAUUUGCCUCACACUAGACGGAUUUCUAUAACUCAGGAAGGGUUAGUGCAGAGUGGGUGGGUAAGAAUGGAGAUUGAGUGAGCAUAUUGCCUGUGUGUUGGUGUGUCAAGCUGGCAGCAUACGCACGCCUAACGGUAUGUAGAAGUAUGUCUUUGACCUCAGUAAAUGGAAUGCUUUGUCAGUCAAUGCUCCAGCUAGAAGUUCAUCUACAGUCUGACUGUCAAGAAGCUGGAUACACGAAACGAUUCUCCAUUCUGCAGUCCAGGAAAACUGUCAGUCAGAGAGAGUGAUGUAAGAUAGAGAAGAAGGAAAAUAAAUAAUGAGUGAUAUCAAAAAGACAGAGACAUGCGCCUGGCUAGGGAGAGGUGUACUGUGCUUGUCCUUGGAGAGCCAUUCUUGGGAUGUUUGUGGUGUUGUGAGGGAGAGGUGAAGGACAGGUGACAUGGUAGUACCACGAUUUCAGUGGAAGAGGUGUGUAUGUAGUGUUGACAUAGAGAGUCUCCCUGCCCUGGGGCUGUUGGCUUUCAGGUGGAUUUACAAUGUUUACCAGCCUCUGGUGAAGUAAGAGGACAUUCCUGUUCCCUUAGAAAGACUUGUGUGCUCUGUGUUAGUACUCCUGCCUCUGUCCAGUUUCUACUGUGUGUUGUUCGUCGGCAUCAUGUCAAUGGCUGUGUGAGAGUGUGGAGAGACAUGUUUGCCUAAGGCUAGUUGCAUACAGGUAUGUGGAAAUAUGUGUGUACACUUUUUUGUUUAAACUUGAGCUAGGUUGUCCCCACCAGCCUUUCAUAAUGAUGUUGUUUAUUUUCUGUGUGCGUGUGUGUGUGUGUGUGUGUGUGUGUGUGUGUGUGUGUGUGCGUGUGUGUGUGUGUGCGUGCGUGUGUGUGUGUGUGUGUGUGUGUGUGUGUGUGUGCGUGCGUGCGUGCGUGCGUGUGUGUGUGUGUGUGUGUGUGUGUGCGUGUGUGUGUGUGUGUGUGUGUGUGUGUGUGUGUGUGUGUGUGUGUGUGUGUGUGUGUGUGUGUGUGUGUGUGUGUGUGUGUGUGUGUGUGUGUGUGUGUGUGUGUGUGUGUGUGUGCGUGUGUGUGUGUGCGUGCGUGUGUGCGUGUGUGUGGUGUUCUCUCCUAUGGACUUUGAGAUCACUAGCCCUAACCCUCAUAAGAGAGAGAGAGAGAGAGAGAGAGAGAGAGAGAGAGACAAACAAACAAACAAACGAGAUGGGGAGACUGUUUGGAUUCAGUUUUUUGCACAUGGCCGUGUUGUAAACAGUAGUGUUUCCUCUAUUGGCUCCAUCCCGCCUAGCGUCCGGCACGUUCUUGGGUCCAACGAGUUAAGACGCUAGGCGGGUUUCCUGGUUCCACUUUAUAACCAGGAAGUACCUUUCUCAUGGACGCACCCUCUUUUUUGUGUUCAGUUUGGUCCUAUUGUAUAAAAUACUUUUGCUUUCUUUAUUUACCUACCUUUUCGGAAUAGGACCUUUUCCUUGUCUUAGUCUCCUUUGUAGCACUCGACUCUGUCAGGAGACGUGAUUGGACGUCUGUUUGGGGAAUGUUUCAUGUGACUUUGUGACAAGCUUCCUCAUUGGAGGAGCACACACAGCUGACCUUGUUGUCUUUUUUUUAUUUGCUUAUUUACUUCUUGCACAAAUGACAAAUAUAAUGAAUGUUGGUGUGAGCUUCAGCGUUUUGAGAAGAAAAGACAUGUGUUGUUGUUUUUAUUGUUUAUUGCCAUGUUGUUGUUUUAUUUUUGUUUCUUUUUUGGCAAAAAAAAAGAAAAGAGAAUGGUUUUGGCACCUUUUUGUGUUUAAACUGAACAGAUUUCAAUCAGGAUUCCUUUGUUGAAACUUGACUGUUGUUUGACGUCUUGUCAAUAAAUGUCC
Molecule: long non-coding RNA, 3125 nt
Filed under: Salmo salar (Atlantic salmon)
Lineage: Eukaryota; Metazoa; Chordata; Actinopteri; Salmoniformes; Salmonidae
Description: lncRNA (ENSSSAG00000105237.1)
Source: RNAcentral